RNAcentral lists this ribosomal RNA (320 nucleotides) under uncultured bacterium. RNAcentral's name for it is "bacterial SSU rRNA". It matches the Rfam family "Bacterial small subunit ribosomal RNA", at positions 335 to 646 of the family's 1533-position model. The record is from RNAcentral.
ACUCCUACGGGAGGCAGCAGUGGGAAUAUUGCACAAUGGGCGCAAGCCUGAUGCAGCCAUGCCGCGUGUGAGAAGGCAUCGGGCUUGGUUAAGACACUUUCAGUUGUGAGGAAAGGUUAGUCGCUAAUAUCGGCUAGCUGUGACGUUAGCAACAGAAGAAGCACCGGCUAACUCCGUGCCAGCAGCCGCGGUAAUACGGAGGGUGCGAGCGUUAAUCGGAAUUACUGGGCGUAAAGCGCGUGUAGGUGGCUUGUUAAGCCAGAUGUGAAAGCCCCGGGCUCAAGCCUGGGAACUGGCAUUUGGAACUGGCAGGUCUAGAG